CCCAUAAAUAAUAAAAAGUCUGUUUAGGUCCCUUAACUUUAUUUAAAGUAUCAGCUUGGUCCUUUCUGUUAAUUUAAUUCAAAAAAACGUUAAGUUUAGAGACCAAACUAAUACUAAUUAAAUAAGUUAAGGGACCAAAAUUUAACGUUUUUUUGAAUUAAAUUAACAGAAAGCACCAAACCGAUAAUUUAAAUAAAGUUAAAGGACCUAAACGGACUUUUUAUUAUUUAUGGGA
MicroRNA precursor from Medicago truncatula (barrel medic), 235 nucleotides. It matches the Rfam family "MIR2655 microRNA precursor family". The record is from Rfam. Lineage: Eukaryota; Viridiplantae; Streptophyta; Magnoliopsida; Fabales; Fabaceae.